This 253-nucleotide ribosomal RNA is filed under the name uncultured bacterium. Its description in RNAcentral is "partial 16S ribosomal RNA". It matches the Rfam family "Bacterial small subunit ribosomal RNA", at positions 524 to 776 of the family's 1533-position model. The record is from RNAcentral.
UACGGAGUGUGCGAGCGUUGUCCGGAAUCAUUGGGCGUAAAGGGCGCGUAGGUGGCGCAGCAAGCGUGCGGUGAAAGCUCGGGGCUCAACCCCGAGUCGGCCGUGCGAACUGCUGGGCUCGAGCACUGUAGAGGCAGGCGGAAUUCCGGGUGUAGCGGUGGAAUGCGUAGAGAUCCGGAAGAACACCGGUGGCGAAGGCGGCCUGCUGGGCAGUUGCUGACACUGAGGCGCGACAGCGUGGGGAGCAAACAGG